CCAAUAGCGUAUAUUAAAGUUGUUGCAGUUAAAAAGCUCGUAGUUGAAUUUCGGGAUCAAAUUGUCGGUCGUGCCUCGGUACGAACUGGUAUUAUUGGUUCCUACCUUCUGAAGAACCGCGAUGUCAUUAAUUUGGUGUCGUGGGGAAUCAGGACUGUUACUUUGAAAAAAUUAGAGUGUUUAAAGCAGGCUUACGCUUGAAUACAUUAGCAUGGAAUAAUGAAAUAGGACGUUUGAUUCUAUUUUGUUGGUUUCUAGGAUUGACGUAAUGAUUAAUAGGGAUAGUUGGGGGCAUUAGUAUUCAAUUGUCAGAGGUGAAAUUCUUGGAUUUAUUGAAGACUAACUACUGCGAAAGCAUUUGCCAAGGAUGUUUUCAUUAAUCAAGAACGAAAGUUAGGGGAUCGAAGACGAUCAGAUACCGUCGUAGUCUUAACCAUAAACUAUGCCGACUAGGGAUCGGAUGAUGUUAAUUUUUUAAUGACUCAUUCGGCGCCUUACG
Molecule: ribosomal RNA, 499 nt
Filed under: uncultured Glomeromycotina
Lineage: Eukaryota; Fungi; Glomeromycota
Description: partial small subunit ribosomal RNA
Rfam family: Eukaryotic small subunit ribosomal RNA
Source: RNAcentral